Molecule: non-coding RNA, 2846 nt
Organism: Lolium perenne
Lineage: Eukaryota; Viridiplantae; Streptophyta; Magnoliopsida; Poales; Poaceae
Source: RefSeq, a predicted model, not a curated record
GCUUCCAUUUGUUUUGUUUAUGUUCUUGCAGGCUGAAGUGGUUCCUGUUUACCUUCAAAUGUUGGUUUUGUUCAUUUUUGGCCAUGUAUGCUAAGCAUAGAAUAAGAUUUUCAUGAAAGGCAUGAAGCAACCUGAGCUAAAUCUCCUUUACAUUUAAAAUGCAUUUCAUGGAUAUAUGUAUUGUCAAAAAGAAAAGUAGGUCCCACCGGGAUUCGAACCCAGGUUGCCAGAUUCAAAGUCUGGAGUGAUAACCACUACACCAUGGAACCGGAUCUUGUAUAUGGUCCUUUGAUGAUGCCAUUUAUGAUAUGAUUCUAUAGGCACAUAAAAGGGCAUGAAAAAUAAACACUUUUUGCUUGUAUCUGUUUGUUUUCUAUGGGCACACUUGCAUUGUUUGAUUCAAUAAAGUCGUCUCCUUUUUGAGCUUGCAGAUAGUUGGCAUCUAGUUAAAUUAUGGGAAUAGCCAAAAGAUCACUUUAGUUAAAGUGUUAUUUUGGUAUAUCAUUAGUAUGGCUUGAUGUAUGGAUGUGUGUUGUCUUGGGAAUUCCACGCUUUUAAGAAACUUGUAGUGAAAUGGCGUCCUAAGAAUGGAUAUGGUCUUAGGCCAAUUUGGCGCUGAAUAUUUACUUAUGCCUGACAGAAAUUAGUAACGCAUGAGCGUAAAAUGGGUACUUUUCUUAAUUUGUCAAGAGCUGUUGUCCGACAGAUAUCCAUGUCAUUAGUACUUAUUCUAAUGUAAAGUUCACUCGAAAAGGUAAUCAUCGAAGGCAUGGCAAGGUGGCAGAAUGGCAGUUAGCUUCAUGGGCUCUGCUCAAUCAGGAUCUUGUAGAGAAGCCAGGACGCAAGAAUCCAGACACAGCACAUCACCCUCUAGGAAACAGUAUCUUAAGGCUUCUUGAGUAGCAGCGCUGAGAAUUGUCUGGACUGUGGGAAGACUAGCGGCAGCCUAAUCUUGUGGAAGUUGGGCGCCAGGACCGUCCAGGUAAGGUGUACUAUUAGAUGACUUAAGUCUAAGAGAUCUAGUGUCUGGUUUGUGCAUGCUGCCACAAAAGUGGAGGUUUUUCCUCUUCUAUCAGUGGAAGUUUUUGAGUGUGACUGCUAGGCAACGAGUCAAGAUCACCUUGUUCUGAACUUCUGAUACCACAUGAAGUUGGAGUUAGCUUGCAUUGGAGUGGGGGGCACCGGGUGAUACAAAGUUUGCAUGGGAUCCAAGGACACCGACGCUCUGAAUCCCUGGUUGUGCCAAACAGAAUUACUCCCUUCGGCCCUAUAAGAAUACAUGGAAUGUGUGAUCAGCUAGAGAAAGCUGCUGCAUCCUGAUGUGGGAAUACACUCGCAGAUGCAUGACUGCAGUUGCCACUGAGAAGAACUUGAGCACUAUGGUCUAGGAAUAUCCAUGCCUUCCCUUUGAUGAUUAGCUUUUUUGGGUGGGCGAAUGUUAUUACCAGAACCAUCUAUUUGUGUCAAACAAAAACUAUCAUAGUCUAGGGUCGCUAAUAGCUAAUGUCUGUGGACAUUUUAUGCACAUGAAACCCUCUUUGAAAUGAUGGUAGGUGCAGGACUAUUGAUGACUAGUGUGUGAUAUCAUUAUGCUGCUGUCUAAUGUACUUUACUCUAAUAUAGAAAUAUUCUUUUGACAUAUGCAUAAUGUCCUUAGCUAGUCAAUGUGGGGCCUAACAGAAAAAACACAUAUUAUCUUAUUACAUGAUUGACUGAGAUAAAUUUACCUCAACAGGGUUUUCCUUAUCAUUAUUAUUAUUUUGGCUCUGUUCACGUUCAGUUCUUUUGCCUUCAACCCCUGUAACAGCUUUUGCAUAGAGUACUAGAUUACACCAUUGUAUGCUGUGAUCGAUUCGUGGUGGCCUGAUGCUUCAAGACGUUUUGCGGUGGCCGAUCAGGAAAAGGUUAAUUCCUUAAUCAUGCUGAGCCUUUGACUGGAGAUAAAUUAUUGCAUCUUCGAAGACAAGCGCGCUCCUGCUAGCUCUGUUUUGAGCAUGCCCCUUGAUGAGGGGCACGCGUGGGUUGCUUGUAGAGGUGGGCAGCCGAGAGCAAUAGAGUAGCCCCGGCUUGUCUUUGAGCCCCCAAAGUGGUGGCGUUUUGGGUGGUCUUUUUCCAGGUUCUGCAUUGACCUCUUUUCUCUUUUUUUUUUUCUUGUUCUGUUGUCGUUUUGUUUUGGACAUCUUGGUCCUGCUUUUGAGCUUAAUACAAUGACGUGCAGCUCUCCUACGGGUUCUAAAGAAAAGAGUACUAGAUUACACAUGCAUUGUAUGUAUAUAUAACGUUGCCAAUCUUCAGUUUAACCCGUUUUUCUACAGGGGAGAACACCAUCUGAAUCAGAUUGGAUGGAUAAGCCAGAGCAAGAGUGCUCUUCGCGAGCCAAAAUGAGUUUUGUCCCUAGAACAUGUGGUACCUUGUUUGCUUCUUGUGGGCAAUGAUUUUUGUUCCAUGAUGUAAGAAUCCCCAAAGAUGACAGCUGUGUCUACGUGGGAUUAUACAAUCUGAGAUGUUGACCAUGUGAUUACAUCCCAUUUGAGCAGUGAGGUUUAAGCUCUGCCAAUCCAGCAUCGAUGACAUACAAAGUAAUCUGUUGAAGCUACAAUAAAUAUGCUCCCGUCAUCAUAGAUAAUUGUUUCACCAUAUGCAGCAUCCUCUUUGUUUAGAAAGAUUUCUGUUUUACUUUUGGAGGCUUGGAACCCUUAUGAAUCUUUUCUACUACUAGCUCCAUUCCGAUUUAAUGACUGCCAGUAGUAGCACACUAGCACCACAAGUGAGUAUGUACGCAAGUUGUUUCCGCUGAAUGGCGUUGAUUUAAAUCGGAACAGACAGUACUAUUUGUUAUUUGAUUA